UACGGAGGGUGCGAGCGUUAAUCGGAAUUACUGGGCGUAAAGCGUACGCAGGCGGUUUGUUAAGUCAGAUGUGAAAUCCCCGAGCUUAACUCGGGAACUGCAUUUGAAACUGGCAAGCUAGAGUCUCGUAGAGGGGGGUAGAAUUCCAGGUGUAGCGGUGAAAUGCGUAGAGAUCUGGAGGAAUACCGGUGGCGAAGGCGGCCCCCUGGACGAAGACUGACGCUCAGGUACGAAAGCGUGGGGAGCAAACAGG
RNAcentral lists this ribosomal RNA (253 nucleotides) under uncultured bacterium. Its description in RNAcentral is "partial 16S ribosomal RNA". It matches the Rfam family "Bacterial small subunit ribosomal RNA", at positions 524 to 776 of the family's 1533-position model. The record is from RNAcentral.